AACGAACGCUGGCGGCGGGCCUCAUACAUGCAAGUCGAGCGCGAAAGUCCGCAAGGAUGAGUAAAGCGGCGCACGGGUGAGUAACACGUGGAUAAUCUACCCUUUGGAUUGGAAUAACCUGUCGAAAGACGGGCUAAUGCCGAGUAAGCUUACGAGUUCGUGAAGUUCUUGUAAGGAAAGAUGGCGCAAGCUAUCGCCGAUGGAUGAGUCUGCGUCCCAUUAGUUAGUUGGUGGGGUAAUGGCUUACCAAGACUAUGAUGGGUACCUGGUCUGAGAGGAUGACCAGGCACACUGGAACUGAAACACGGUCCAGACUCCUACGGGAGGCAGCAGUAGGGAAUAUUGCGCAAUGGACGAAAGUCUGACGCAGCCACGCCGCGUGAGUGAGGAAGGCCU
Molecule: ribosomal RNA, 396 nt
Filed under: uncultured bacterium
Lineage: Bacteria
Description: bacterial SSU rRNA
Rfam family: Bacterial small subunit ribosomal RNA
Source: RNAcentral